CCCCCUCCUCAGCGUCCUCCCGCCGCCCCUCUCCUUCGAUCUGAUCUCCUUCGCACCCCGCCGUCGCCGGCGACUCCUCGGCGCCUCGCCGUCGCCGUCACAUCAGACGCCGGCAACUCCUCCGCGGCCUCACGCUGUCGUCCUCUCCUUCGCAAGGAACACCCGACCCUUCCUCCGCGGCCUUGUGACGCCGACCACUCCUUCGUGGCCUCACGCCGCCCUCCUCUCCCUCCUUCCUUCGUCCAAGGCCAGGACUUCCCCUCCCUGACCCGAUCUGACGGAGAGAGGGCCAAGCCUUGCCACUCCGGUGGUCACUUUGGCCAAAUCCGGUCGGGGAAGCCGUAGAGACUAAACGUCGGCGCAGCAGCAGCAGUCCUUGCGACGGUGGGUGCCGGAGCUCGUCAAGCAACUCGCCGUCGGCGGCCACGACCACCUCAUUCCCUGCCGUGCGUCUCCGUCAACUACUGUGGCAUUGACGACAGCGAGCUAGGAGCCUACGAGGUAGACGCCCUGCUGACUGUGUCGUCAAGGCCUCCACAUGGCUCCUCUUGCGGCAGACUGCUGGUUGUUUGUCAUGUCCUUGAUCACCCUAAUUUAAUCCAAGUCAGGUUUUUGGGAUGAAUUGAUGACAAGGAGAGCACGUUGGAAAUAGUGGAAGUGGAGACGGGAGAGGAUGAUGGGAACGAUCAAGUACAUCACAAUCAUCGGCAUCAUGUGGCUCUCCUACACCAACGCAAUUCAGGUUUGAUAAUUGAUGAGGGUGGGUGCCAUGGUCGUCUAUGCUGGGCUUCUGCACGAUCACAUCUUCCACAUGUUCGGUGCUGGAGUGGCUGAUCUUGUGGAAGGGUUACGUUUUCCUCUUCUCAUGGAUUUUGACCAUUGUUUUAGAGGGAUUCGGAUAAUGGUUCUGUGAUUUAAAUUAUGAUGGCCUGCAUCAUGCCUCCCUAUAUUUAAGGCAAAUGAUAAUGGAAGUACACCUUCAUGAACAAGCUAGCCGAGGUCUUGGAAUUCCAACCUAGGUAAACAAGUGAACUCAUUUAACGGUUUCCCCUUUUCUGGUGAUGCAGGUAUAGCUCAUUCAUUAAGGGCUACUCAGCUUUGUCUUUUUCUCUCUCUUUGGUGAUUGGAUUAUAUGCUACUCUGUGUUGAAGGAUCUGUUCAUGCUAAAUUUAACAAAUCUUGUCAUGUUUUCAUAAAUUAUCUAUUUGAUCACUCUGCGUGGAACAGUAAACAUUUGUAGCAUGAUCAGGGUUUGAUUAUUUUUAGCAGUGCACAUAACUUCAGAAUAUAAACCAAUGGGGCUAUCUUGUUCGUCUUUCUACUUAUGUAUGUAUACAUAUGGGAUGCUUUGUUAGUUCUGUUGUGCAAAUAAUCAUUCUUUGUGUUGAUGAGCUAUGAUAAUGGCUCCCCAAAUUACAAUACUUGCUAAACGUACACUUUGUUGCGAUGAAAUCCUAUUUACAAACAGUAUAUUUUCCUAAUGGAUUGUGAUUAAACUUUGUUGCUUUUACCCACUUUGGUGCUGCUUCAGUGUAUCUGUACUAAAUCGUAAAAUAAGAUGAUUGUAUAUUUUGCUUUACAGUACACCGGUUCAUGAGAAGAAUGCUGAGAAGAUUCAGCUUGCUGUGCUAAAUGUCAUUCUGGCUUGACUCGAUAAUAUCGUGGUAACAUGGUGGAAUAUUUUAUUUUUUAUUGUAACAAACUGUAGUCAAAUUCAUCAGAUAUAUAUACUUCCAGGAUCGGAGGAACAAGUAGUUUUAGCCUUCUGUUUUCGAAUUCUUAGUUUAACAUCUCUGUACUUGUUGAAGCUGUUAUCUCCAACUCUACAUGAGCAUAGUGAUAUGCAGUAUAGAACAUCUCCAUUUUUUUCUUCUUUGGUGAGCAUGGAAUAUCCAAAUUGACAUCUAGAGAUAGAUAAGUUGGUAGGGUAACGUUCACUAGCUUUUUUUAGGAUCAAAAUUGAUGUAUUAAUUUUCUUAUCAAAGGAUGAUUAACGGAAUCGUGGUAUUGCGGCCAAAAUAUACUCUCUUCAGUUUGUUGGUAAUGAGCAAAAUGUAGUCCUACUGGUAAUGGGCUUUGGAUUUGUGCGUGAAAUACAUUGUUGCAUGCAUGUUUCCUAAGUGAAAAAUGUAAUGGUUCUGAAUAUAGCUGGAGAUGAAUUAUUUGCAGCAUCCAAACAACAACAGUGGCAUGGAUACAGUUAACAGUACUAGCAAUUGAUGAUAUUGUCAUAGCAAUUUUAAUUUGGAAAAAAUAUGUGCGAGAUUAGUCUUUUCUUUUCUUUCAUGCAAUGAAGAGAGUACAAAGUAUACUACAAUUUUUUGUAACCCACACAAUGAUUCAAGAAGCAGGGCCAAACAGGACCAAUGAAGACGCGUACAGUACUGUUCUUCAUGAUAUGAUGUUAAUUUUUUCCCGCAAAUGAAUUUAAUAUUUAAUUCUUUGUGAGACAACUACUAAAAUGAAGUAGUUUAUAGGUUUGAAAAUUCCAUGUAUUGUGCAUAUUUUUAUGUGCGUACUUGACUCAGAUGCAAGCUAUUCGCAGUACGUAUAUUCUGAAAGAAAACAUGACGUAGCUGCUGAAUGCUCUCUGAAACGUAGCAUAUUUUUUAAAAUACUCUAUUUGCUUUGAAUGAGGUUGCCUUUUGCUUUAAACAAUUAACUGCAUUCUGAAAUACUUUUAAAUUUGGCUAAGAUUAAGAGAUCUAGCAAAUGAGUCCAAGUCUCAAAACCAGGUGCAUCUUGAGUAUUUCUCCUCCACGGCGGGUGGUCCAUCUCCAUCGUGGAGUGUUGCUAGAUCAACAACAUCUGGUCUAUUUGAAUGGCACAUUACUGUUCCGAGUCUCCAAGAACCAGGUACAUCUCUCUUGUCUUAGCCUCUUCUGAUUAUCCUUCCUGUUAUUAUGUAGGAAGCAGAUUACCAACUUUCCAAGCUCUAUAUUCAGCCGUCCUUUCUGAUUGCUCAUACAAGUUCAAUAUAUGAACAUGCUUGUUACACUUAGUUCUUCCAGUUUCUUGAGAUAACCAUGUCUCAAGUUUUUGAACAGCUACAGUACCUAUACAGUAAGAAUCGAACUGCAAAGGAGCUGAACCCUCUGUUGUUUCAUGACUCCCUUAUGCCCUUGCGAGGAGCGGCCACCAUUGGGCAGGGACAAAGCCGUUGAGCGCCCUUGCUCGGUGGUCCACCACCCUUCUCGCCUCCCGUUCGACGCCUCUUCUCCACACCCCUUCGUUCGAUGUGCUUCGACUCAUGAUGUACCAGAGUGGAGUCAGUAUAGAUAUCAGAGGUGCACAUGGGGUCCUCUUUAGUUUUUUUCCUUAAUUGUUAACCAUCUCCAAUUUUAUGUCAACUCUACUUAUUCCAGUUUCAUAGUUGGAGGUAUCAAUGCAAUGCUUUUUAUGUAUAGAUAAUACAUCAAUUUAUAUCUAUCGCCCUGAAGAAAAUGUACAUUGCUGAUACAAAUAAUCUUUAUUUAGUUUACAAACAUGUAAUGAAAUCUACACUACGAAUAAGAAGACUGAAGUAUAGGACGCGCUCAGGGGUGUGCGGCAGCCCAUGGCGGGCAAGGCGUGCUGCAGUGGGGUUAUGGCAGCAUUAUGGUCAUGAGAGAGCUAGCAUGCUCAUUGGUAUAAAUUAGUUACCCUCAUGUGGGCUUAUUUUUUAUUCUAAGUAUUAACAUGCCUUCAAAAUAAUUCUGUAAUAGGUAUAUAAUUGCAGGUUGUUGUGUGAGCUGCACCUAAACUGAGAACUGAAACUGCAAUGAAUUACUUGAAACUUGGUGUCUUUAUAUUUGCCCCAUUUGUUGAGGUUCAGUUUCACUAAAAUGGACAGACCAUGAGCUCCUUUAGGAACUUGUUGGGAAAUGUCGCUUGUCUGGAGAGGCUGGAAAUACGAAGACAAGUAUGUGUUUGAUUAUUUUGAAGCUAUUUAACAUAUUAGUGGUGUCAACGAGGGUAAGUCCAGGUUCCACAUGUCAAGCUAUAUCAGUUUUUUCGCAAAGAAAUUUCUCUUUAUACAACAAGACAAUACUUAUUUGUGAUUUUGCAUGCCGUCGUGGAAUUCUAGCGAACAUGUCAAUUUGUUCGUGAUUUCGGACGUACAGUAUUUGGGUCCCAUGCACGAGGAGACGUUGAUAAGUUACUUCAGAUAUACAUAUGGACCGAACUAAAUAUGUAUUUAGAGAUUAUAAAAGUGUGUGUUGUUUUGCAAUAGUUUUAACCCACUCAACUGUAUUAUAAAUGUGCAAAAAAAAAUCUGGCCCGGUGGCAAAGCAGAGUAUUUAGCUAGGUGAGCUAUAGACCAGGAGCUGGUGGGCGGCAGGGCAAGCACGCCGCUUCUCCUCUCUGUCUCCAGAGAGGCGCGUGCGUCGAAAAAUGAACAUAUCUGAGCCACGCGCCUUGCUUCUACUGGUUUCUAUAGAGAUUGGCUCGCUUAGAUUUUAGACUAGGCGGUUGCUGUCGAGGUCGCCAAGGUGAUCCUACAACACUGACAUGGGGAUUGUUCAUGAUUCUAUCUGGACAAGCGGUGGUUGUGAUUGGCUGGGUGGUGGUGUUGCCUUGAGGAGAGACAAAGUGAAGGUAAAAGCAAGCAAGAUCCGAUGGUGCUGCCGUGAGGAUAGCCAAAGUCAAGACGUAGACUACGGACUCGUCGCAACGAACCUCGACGCUACGAGCCUGAUUCAUGGACCAAUGGAGGGUCUUGACGCUGUUAGGGUUCGGAUAGGAUGAAUGUGGGAGGUGACGUGCUUGGUUGAGUGCCCCUGGAAGAUUGUGUCCUCCCCGUGGAUCUGUCUGUGGCCAUCGUAGAGGAGAUUGUGGCCCUUCCCCGACGAGCAAGAACAAUGUAGGCGGCAGCAGGAGGUAGGGGUGGAUGCGGGGAUGGAUGUUGAUGGUUGCUCGAGGUUGCGGUGUGGAAAGUCAAGAGCACGAAGUCGAAAUCGGAUAGGAGUUUGAGUUCUUGUUGGCCGUGGCUGGCUCCCCACUUUAGUGAUGUAUUUUUUUCAGUUUGUUGAACCUAGAGUGCCAUUCGCAACAUGUUUCAGGUGACCCAGAAGUUCCCUUUCAUCAGCAGUUACAGAGCAUUCAGAGUUCCGAGCUCUGUCGACGUCGCCAGCCUUGUGAAAUGCCAACUGGUCGUCGCUUCUUUCGGUGCUGACGGGAAACACGUAGAUGUUACUGGACUGCAAUUACCCGGCGUGCUGGAUGACAUGUUUGCAUACACAGGACCGCUCGGUGCGGUUUUCAGCAAGGACUCUGUGAGCCUGCACCUUUGGGCUCCUACAACACAGGAUGUGAGUGUGUGGUUCUUGGAUGGUCCGCCGGCCCUGCUCUAGAGAUGGUGCAGCUCAAGGAGUCAAAUGGUGUUUGGAGUGUUACUUGACCAAGAGAGUGGGAAAACCGAUACUAUUUAUAUGAAGUUGACGUGUAUCAUCCAACUAAGGCACAAAUUCUGAAAUGUUUAGCUGGUGACCUUUAUGCUAGAGGGUAUGUGGCUGUGCGUAUUUCAGUUAUGUAGUUCAGGGAGAGGAACUUUCAGCAGAAGAAAAAAGUUCAGGGAGAGGAAGAAACUAGCUUGUUGUUUAUUUGAUCAGCCUUUCUGCAAAUGGAGCGCGGACCUGGUUGGUUGACAUUAACAAUGAAACAUUGAAGCCCGCUUCCUGGGAUGAAUUGGCCGAUGAGAAGCCAAAACUUGAUUCCUGCUCUGACAUAACCAUCUAAGAAUUGCACAUUCGUGAUUUUAGUGCCCAUGAUGGCACAGUGGACAUUGACUCUCGUGGAGGAUUUCGUGCAUUUGCAUACUAGGCCUCAGCAGGAAUGUUUGACUCAUGUGCAUUUGUUGCCAAGCUUUCAUUUUGCUGGCGUUGACGACAUUAAGAGCAACUGGAAAUUUUUCGAUAAGGAAAUAUUUCUCUUUAUAAAAGGUGAUGAGUGUGAACUAGCAACAUUCCCUCCAGGAUCAGAUAUGCAACAAGCAGCAGUAGUAGCUAUUCAGGAAGAGGACCCUUUUAAUUGGGGGUAUGACUCUGUGCUUUGGAAGGUUCCAAAAGGAAGCUAUGCAAGUGAUUUCAUCAGGAAAGAGAUGCAGACGAGAGGAAGAGAGCCUCCCCCAAGCUCUGUCUAGGCGAUGCACGGGCGACGGCCACCCUUCCUGUUAUUGCCUCCAUGGCUGACUGCUCAUCCCCAGUAACCUCGCCCCCCCCCCCUCACGUGCGCCACACUCUGGGAUUAAGAUUGUCAAUACAUGCUGCAAGAUACUGUUGAGUUAAUUAAUUUCCUCGAGUCAAACGAAAAUAUGGAAACUGUCAAGGAGAUGUCGAAUGAUGAAUAUAUUCAGAUACUAAGAGAGGUUCUAAAAUGUGUUUUGGCAGGUUAGUCCUGAUCGUGCUUAUUUUUAAACCCGAAACAUUCUUUAUCAUUGGAGGGUUCUCUAUAAUCCCAUAAUUGCGAAGUCAAUUGCUUAAUUUGAUUGAGAGUAAUUGAGUUAAUGCACAUGUUUAUUUUUCUAGAUCGUAUCUUAACUGCUUGGACUCUUCAUGUACACUAAAUGUGAAACUCAUUAUGGUUUGGAAGUGCCUGAUAGCUUGUGACAUAAUUGAUGUAGUUUAUCAAUCAUGCAAUUUGUUGUUAGCAACAUGUACAAGAUUUUGGUAAUUUCCAUUUCAAUAUUGUUUUUUGUUUUCAUAUAUCCUAGAUCAUACUAAGAUACUAAGAGAUUCCUUACUGCAUUAACAUUGGCAUCCAUGGUUACUUCUCUGUAUAUAUGAAAAAUGUACAUCCUCUAGCUCUCAUGCGUUUUAGUCGCUCUUUUCUCUUUAUGCUGUAUCACCAAUGGCGCGCGCGCGAGAGAGAGGGAGGGAGAGAGCGAUGGAGAGGGAGAGGGAGAGGGGUCUAAAUGAUUGUAUCCGUACCAGUUUCAUGUUUCCAUGCAUGUCACAUAGAAAACAGUAUCUUCAUGUGGCAAGUAUCUAAUGCAUAUACAUGAGUUAUAUUAUUUAUCGUAUUCACAUACUAAUAUAUUCAUGAUUUUUUUUGCAUUGUAGAGUGCUAGCACGCUACAUUGGAGAGAAAGCGUUGAGAGAAUGCUUUGUUAGGAUGAUAGACAUGAAUAAUCAAUCCUGAAUCCUCAUUCCAAGGUUUUUCAGAUGUUGAUAUUUUAUUCUAUAAUCUUGGUCAAACAUUCGAAUGGUUGACUUGGAGGAUAUCAAUACACCUUAUUUUCUGGAAUGGAGGGAGUAUCAUUCUUGGUGUGACGGACAAAUAGAAAGAAAGGUCCGCAAAGAGUGCACUCACAAAAGCCAUGUACUGUAGGCCAUGAGUGAUUACCUUGAAAGCUUUCUCAUCGAGGCCAUAGUUCCAAACUAUACCAUCCUUUAAGAAACAUUCAAUCAGAAUUGGAGGAAAUGCCAUCCAUUGGGGUUCUGAAGUUCUGAACUUUGAUCUCUCUAUUUGAAUCGUUGUUAUUAUUUUGUCUGUAGGCCAUGAGCAAAUAAUCUGGAGAGUGCCUAAUGUUCCUCAACUUUUCUUAUGUUCCAAAUUCACUAUUAGUGUUGAUCAUCUUCAAAGAACAGAAAACGUAUGACAGGAUUAAGAUUGUAAUUUGUGCUCAUAUUUUUUUCCAAAAUUCACUGCUUGAUUAAUUUUGUUGUAGAAGCUUGAGAGAAAAAGAUAGUAAAUACAUAGUAACUUUAUAUUGAUUUAAGAGUAAUAGCAACACACCUGCUUUUAACUAUAUAUAAAUAUCUCUAUAUUGUUCUAUACUGUCCGUCAGCAAGCGAGCGUUUGAAUUGCUGUUGAUGUGCAUUGUACAUGGGCUUGGCCACUUGGAUCGUGAGACGAGAUCGAUCGACUAGAUGCUUGUUUAUUUGUGUUGUUCUUAAUUUAACUUUGUGGAAGGUUGCGAGCCGAAUGCGUCAUCGACGAGGAGGUGAGUUUGGAUUUGGACGGUGAAGAUGAGAAGAUAGUUGGGGAGGAAGAAGGUAUAAAAUCAACAAUAUCGUCUGGUGUGCGUGAGGAUCCUAAUGGUACAUGUUUGACGCGAUCGUUGCUAACCUAAUAAGAUAUGCGGUGGCACGAGGUGGUGGCAUAAAUGGGGCGGUUGUGCUGGAUGUCCAAGGCUGCACUAGGGAGGUGCGAGCGGUGCCUCCCGCAAGAUUCCAUUGGGGCGACGCAUGGGCGGCAGCCACCCCCAAGACCCUGUUAGCACAAUUUCAUAAUAAUAUAUUUAUACUCCCUGUUGUGCAAAAUAGAACGCUAUUGUUUGUAGUUAUAUUAGUUUAUUUCCUCUAUAUACAAUGACACGUCUUAUUAUGUGUCCAAGAGGAAGGAAAAAUAUAUGUUUCUAGGUGUUAUGUGACUUACCUUUAAAAGGAAUAACUCUAAUAAGAAGUCCUGUUUUA
Non-coding RNA from Aegilops tauschii subsp. strangulata, 8396 nucleotides. The record is from RefSeq and is a predicted model, not a curated record. NCBI's taxonomy places the organism in Eukaryota, Viridiplantae, Streptophyta, Magnoliopsida, Poales, Poaceae.